UCACCCCUCAAGCCUGGCUUGAUGUUGGAUCUAGGUCUGGGAUAACCCCCCACGACCGGUCCCAAAGACAAUGACGGCGUCCCCUGGACCCUUGGUGCAACGAGCUUCUUAACCGAGCACGCAUCGAGUUUUCAAGGUCCCGGGGCACGGUCCUCACCUUUUAUCAUUUACAA
RNAcentral lists this unclassified non-coding RNA (173 nucleotides) under uncultured Chaetothyriaceae. RNAcentral's name for it is "sequence contains ITS2". Lineage: Eukaryota; Fungi; Ascomycota; Eurotiomycetes; Chaetothyriales; Chaetothyriaceae. The record is from RNAcentral.